UAGCAAGUCGAACGCGAAAGGGGACUCGGUCCUGAGUAAAGUGGCGCACGGGUGAGUAACGCGUAGAUAACCUGUCUUCAUGUCUGGAAUAAUACGCCAAAGGGGUACUAAUACCGGAUAUUCUUGCUUUUCAUAAGUUAUGCAAGCAAAGGUGGCCUCUGCAUAUGCUACUGCAUGAAGAGGGGUCUGCGUACCAUUAGCUAGUAGGUGGGGUAAUGGCCUACCUAGGCGACGAUGGUUAGCGGGUCUGAGAGGAUGAUCCGCCACACUGGCACUGGAACACGGGCCAGACUCCUACGGGAGGCAGCAGUGAGGAAUAUUGCGCAAUGGGGGAAACCCUGACGCAGCGACGCCGCGUGAAGUGAGGAAGGCCUUCGGGUCGUAAAGCUCUGUCAAGAGGAAAGAAGUGUACAAUGGCUAAUACCUGUUGUAUUUGACGGUACCUCUAAAGGAAGCACCGGCUAACUCCGUGCCAGCCGCUGC
RNAcentral lists this ribosomal RNA (483 nucleotides) under uncultured bacterium. RNAcentral describes it as "bacterial SSU rRNA". It matches the Rfam family "Bacterial small subunit ribosomal RNA", at positions 55 to 518 of the family's 1533-position model. The record is from RNAcentral.